Molecule: ribosomal RNA, 476 nt
Filed under: uncultured rumen bacterium
Lineage: Bacteria
Description: bacterial SSU rRNA
Rfam family: Bacterial small subunit ribosomal RNA
Source: RNAcentral
AAGACAUGCAAGUCGAACGAAGUGGCCCAACAAUGAUGGAGUGCUUGCACAAAAUCUGCGAUGGAUUUUCCACUUAGUGGCAGACGGUGAGUAACACGUAAGUAAUCUACCUUUAAGACUGGGAUAACGUUUGGAAACGGACGCUAAUACCGGAUGAUUCAUUUUUAGAUAACUAAUUAUGCUAAAAGGAGCUUCGGCUUCACUUAAAGAUGAGCUUGCGGCGUAUUAACUAGUUGGUGGGGUAAUGGCCUACCAAGGUGACGAUGCGUAGCCGAGCUGAGAGGCUAAUCGGCCACAUUGGGACUGAGACACGGCCCAAACUCCUACGGGAGGCAGCAGUUAGGAAUAUUCGUCAAUGGGGGAAACCCUGAACGAGCAAUGCCGCGUGAGUGAUGACGGUCUUAUAGAUUGUAAAACUCUGUUGUAAAGGAAGAACCCUUAUUAUAGGUAAUGAUAAUAAGUUGACGGUACUUUAC